NNNNNNNNNNNNNNCCUAGCUUUGACAUCUGUCACUCUGUGGAUCCCAGGGUUGAUUCAGCUGAUUUGGCUGGCUAGGCAGGUGUCUCCUUCCUCCCUCACUGCUCCAUGUGCAUCCCUCUUGAAGCUUUGUGCGCGAUCAAAUAGGAUAACUGUCCCUGAAUAGAGAAGGACCAGACUUCCGUCAAGGGUACACGAGUAAGUAUACUUCCUUGUUAGAACCUCUAAACAAGCUCUCUAGACUAGCAAUAGUGGCUGCUCUUUGACUCACUAAUGAGAACUCCGUGACUGUGAAGAAUUAGAAUAUUAUAGACCCAGAGCUAAAAAUCUUCUUGUACUAUUUUUAG
RNAcentral lists this small nuclear RNA (346 nucleotides) under Microtus ochrogaster (prairie vole). Its description in RNAcentral is "7SK RNA (ENSMOCG00000010253.1)". The stretch from base 9 to 285 matches the Rfam family "7SK RNA". From Rfam's summary of the family: 7SK was discovered as an abundant small nuclear RNA in the mid-70s but a possible function has only recently been suggested. Two independent studies have found that 7SK RNA binds the CDK9/cyclin T complex (known as elongation factor P-TEFb). Lineage: Eukaryota; Metazoa; Chordata; Mammalia; Rodentia; Cricetidae. The record is from RNAcentral.